RNAcentral lists this ribosomal RNA (902 nucleotides) under Cucujoidea sp. 9 KM-2017. Its description in RNAcentral is "partial 16S ribosomal RNA". The stretch from base 663 to 821 matches the Rfam family "Archaeal large subunit ribosomal RNA", at positions 2542 to 2701 of the family's 2987-position model. Lineage: Eukaryota; Metazoa; Arthropoda; Insecta; Coleoptera. The record is from RNAcentral.
GUUAUUUAUUUUGGGAUAAGCUUAAAUAAAAAGAAAUUAUAAAUUUAAAAUUUUAAUUAAUUUGUAGGAUUAAAAAUUUUUAUCAUUGAAAUUUUGUUAUAAUUUAUUAAUUUAUCUUAUAAUUUAAAUUAUUUUUAAUUUUUUUAUUUAAAUUUAUAUAAAAAUUUUUAUUAUGUAAUAAUAAUGAUUAAAUUAGUAAAUUGAAUUAUAUAAUUUUAAUUAAAAUUAAAUUUUAAUUAAGGAAUUCGACAAAUUAAAUUUUCACCAGUUUAUUAAAAACAUGUCUUUUAGAUUAUAAUUUAAAGUCAGGCCUGCCCACUGAAUUUUUAAAGGGCCGCAGUAAUUUGACUGUGCUAAGGUAGCAUAAUCAUUAGUUUUUUAAUUGAAAGCUAGAAUGAAAGGUUUAAUGAAAAAUUAAUUGUCUCAAUUAAAUUAAAUGAAUUUUAUUUUUAAGUAAAAAAGCUUAAAUUUAUUUAAAAGACGAGAAGACCCUAUAGAGUUUAACAUAAAUUUAAUUAAAAUUUUUUUAGAAUUUAUAAAUUUUAAUUAAGUUUAUAUUUAAUUGGGGUGAUUAAAAAAUUAAUUGAACUUUUUUAUUUUAAAACAUCUAUAAAUGAUUGUUUGAUCCAAUAGUUUUGAUUAUAAGAGUAAAUUACCUUAGGGAUAACAGCGUAAUUUUAUUAAAAAGUUCUUAUUAAUAAUAAAGUUUGCGACCUCGAUGUUGGAUUAAAAUUUAAUUUUGGUGCAGAAGCUAAAAAUUUAAGUCUGUUCGACUUUUAAAAUUUUACAUGAUCUGAGUUUAAACCGGUGUGAGCCAGGUUGGUUUCUAUCUUUAAAUUUUAUAAUAUUUUAGUACGAAAGGAUUAAAUAUUAAAUUAAAAAUUUAAUAAUUGAAUAAAAAU